Molecule: non-coding RNA, 3275 nt
Organism: Manis javanica (Malayan pangolin)
Lineage: Eukaryota; Metazoa; Chordata; Mammalia; Pholidota; Manidae
Source: RefSeq, a predicted model, not a curated record
AGAUUAAUAGCUUUCCUUCCAUUUGUCAUUCCUUCCCAGUGAAUAAGAUGAAGAAGUCCAUCAGAAGUAGCAACCAGGAGAUCUUCCAGCACAGACUGCAAACUAUAGAAAAGCUUCAUUCGUCGGUGCCUCCAAGACAUAAUCCUGGGAAAAACUGCAUCUCCACCGGUUAUAGAUUUAUCCUGGAAGGAUGGGCCUGAAGCUCCGGCAAGUGGUACCACAUUAAAGAAACAGGUUUCUCCUGCAAGGAAGCAGCAUUUGUAAAAAGACUUUGAGGCAUAACGAGUCAUUUAAUAAGACUGCCACCAUUGUUGAAGACUGACUCCCAACAUCAACAAGAAGGCUGCUGGAAAUAACACUUUGUGGAAACUAUGAAAGACUUUGGGGGCAUCAGACCUGUUCUUGGAUGGAGUGUAAUGGAAAAUGACAUACCAUCUGAGAUUAAGAUGCUAUCACGUAAUACAGGGAAGUGAGAUACUCUAGAAAAACCCAUGUGAUGAACUCAAAUUAGAGAAGACAAACAAGAGACAAUAGUGGUCCUAUAACUGAGAAGAUGAACUACUACUGGCCUCAAUUAUGCUGCCUCUAUUCUUUAGGACAAUCACAUAUAAACCACUCCAGAUUAUUUCUCCUUUUUUUUGAUUCCCUAGUCCCCAAAUAAAUCCCAAAGCAGAUGACUAGAUGGGCAUAAAUAGGGUUGAGGCAGUAUAGUAUUGGUGGUAAAAAGCACAGACUUUGAAGCUACAAUUAUGUUGAAUCCUAGCUAUGCUAGUUACUACAUGUGUCACUACAGGUUUUACUUGGCCUCUCUGUGCUGCAGUCUGUGUAGUAAUUGUAUCUAAUUACCUCAUAGGGUUACUAUAGGAUUAAAUGAGUUUGAAAAAAUGCUUAGAAAAGUGUCCUAAACUGCGUAAGUGUUUACAACGGUACACGUGAUGAUGAUACACUGUCAAUAUAAACAUAUUUUUUAACUGUCCUCAAACCUGUAUAUGACUGCUAUUUUCCAGGUUUUAAAAUAUCCUCCACACAACUGAACAAAGUAUUUUUCUUCCCACUUUACAAAUAGGUUUUACAGAAAAACUGAGAAACUAACGGGACUAAGUAACGCAAACUAGAACACAGCCUAGUACACAUACACAAUAGGCUGAUUCUAAUCUGCUCUGUAAAAUUGUUUCCCUGCAAGAGAUUUUGUUUGAUUUUAUGGCAGUUACUACAAGUUAAAUUCUGAGGAAGAAGUACAUUUUCAAAUUUAAUUAAAAAAUAAAAAAACAAUAUAUAAAAUCACAUAAAUACUAGAAAUGAAGUAAAGGUUUGGUGAAGGAAAAAAAAAUAUAUUGAUAAUAGCAGCUCUUCUUUCUCAAUUUUCCAAAGAGCUAGACACUUAUCCUAAGCACUUAAUAUGCAUGAUCUCAUUUACUCCUAUUAAAUAAUUACUGUUAUUCUACACAUAAGGAAACUGAAGUUUGGAGGUAUUAAAUGACUUGAUAAAAUCAUACAGCUGAAAAGAGGGAGAGCCGAUACUCAAUUCUAGGUCUAUCUAAUGCCAAUGCCUUUAACCACUCUUCAUGCUGCUUGAAGGCAAUACGCAUUUUAUUGAGCACACAUAUUGAAACCCAAAAUCUUCAAUAUAAUGGAAGAAUGCCCAAAUUAAACAAAACAAAACCCAUAAUGCUCUUUAUUUAAUUCUCUAACAUAUACCAGUCAAAACAGCAAAGUUCAUGCCCUGUUAGAACUACUACUUAUUUUAAUGGCAUCCCUGAUGUCUCAGGGUCAGAGGGUAAGAAACUUUUUAACCUUCUUUGAAACACAAAAAUGGGUCACAUUAAUGAGUUGAAAUAAAAUAUUUUUCACUGCUUCAAGACAUGUUAUUUCCCUGGUCUGUCUGCCUACAGCAGUAUAAAUUAAUGAAGUUAAGUUCAGGUGAUUCUGACUAUAGCUUUUUAUUUAUAGGAGCAUGUCUAAAUCAAGCAAUAAAAUUUAGACGCAGUAGUUGAAAAUGUACAAGUCAACGAACUUUUAAACACUGUUUACAACAGUUCUUCAACAGGUUCACAAAACUAUUGCUUAGAAUAAAAAAGCUUUAUUACCACAAAACUGAAUUUAAAAUUUCUAAAUAUUAACUUCCUAUCACAAUAUCACAUCAUUUUAAACAGUACAGUUUACAUGCCAAAGGGCAUUAAAGAUGUUUACUGAAAAAUAAAAUAAAAAGAAUUUCUAUACUUUACAAAGAAUCUCUAAAACUUAACACAUCAGUUAACACUGUAUUUAUCACAAAAACAAGUAGCUACAGCAUCAAGAAAAUUUAGAUAAUUCCUUAAAAUCUAUGAUAAAGGGAUCUGACCUACAUUCUACAUGGCCUAUAUUAGCCUUUCCUCAAGCAUUGUUGAGAAUAUUGUGUUUACUUGAACAACUUUCAUAAUGCCAUUAAAAAAAAAAGUGUGGCCUUUUGUUUUAGAUUGAAACAAGUACACUGAUUUUCAAAAAUCACAUUGCAUAUAAUUUACACAUAUAAAACAUUUUGGAAAAUUCAAGGCUUGAGAGUCUUCAAAAUUACUAAGUUCUGAAACUUAAAGAAUAACUAAGUUCUACCAUUCAGAAACGAUUACUAUAAAUAUAUUGUUCUGGCUUUUUUUCUUUAGAUGAUUUUCAUUGUUUUGUUUUACAAAGUUAUGGUCAUAUUACAUAUAUAAUUUUGUGUGGCUUGUUUCUUCACUUGGCAUUAUAGUAUCAGGCUCUCAAGUUUUUCUGAGAUAUAUUUAAUGACUGCAUAUUAUUUGAGAAAAAUGUAACAUACUGUUAACUUUCAAACCAAUUCUCUAUGAUCACACCUUUCUGUGUAUAGUAUCUACUACUGAAAGGAUACAAGGACACUUACUAUUGCUCCACUAGCACUGAGUAAUAAUCAAAAAUUUUAAAUCCACAAUUAAUUUAUAUAUUAAAAUGUGUAGGUUAAAAAAAUUUGUAUUUAAUGUUUUGUUUUACUAGUAUUCAGUUUGACUAAUUAACGUUAAGUUUCUCUUGUAUUUGUUAGUUCAUAUUACCUCUUAUGAGACUUUUAAUCUGUUUAUCUUUUGAAAUCUUUGUGUUUCUUAGCAAUUUAUAUGACUCCUACAUAUGAAAGAGUAAACUUUGGUCCUAUUUACGGCAAAAUUUUUCUCAUUUGCCACUUGCCCUUUUAAUGUUGUUUUGUUCUUAAUUUUCAGAAAUUUAAACUUCCAUAUAAUGAAAUCUGUCUUCUCUUUAGUUUCUUAUAUACCAAAUAAACUUUGGCCAUC